AACGAACGCUGGCGGCAUGCCUAACACAUGCAAGUCGAACGAGACCUUCGGGUCUAGUGGCGCACGGGUGCGUAACGCGUGGGAACCUGCCUUUAGGUUCGGGAUAACUCAGAGAAAUUUGAGCUAAUACCGGAUGAUGUCUUCGGACCAAAGAUUUAUCGCCUUUAGAUGGGCCCGCGUUGGAUUAGCUAGUUGGUGGGGUAAAGGCCUACCAAGGCGACGAUCCAUAGCUGGUCUGAGAGGAUGAUCAGCCACACUGGGACUGAGACACGGCCCAGACUCCUACGGGAGGCAGCAGUGGGGAAUAUUGGACAAUGGGAGAAAGCCUGAUCCAGCAAUGCCGCGUGAGUGAUGAAGGCCUUAGGGUUGUAAAGCUCUUUUACCCGAGAUGAUAAUGACAGUAUCGGGAGAAUAAGCUCCGGCUAACUCCGUG
This 433-nucleotide ribosomal RNA is filed under the name uncultured bacterium. Its description in RNAcentral is "partial 16S ribosomal RNA". It matches the Rfam family "Bacterial small subunit ribosomal RNA", at positions 29 to 507 of the family's 1533-position model. The record is from RNAcentral.